ACGGCGAGUGAAGCGGCAACAGCUCAAAUUUGAAAUCUGGCUCUCUUUGGGGGUCCGAGUUGUAAUUUGCAGAGGGUGCUUUGGCAUUGGCGGUGGUCUAAGUUCCUUGGAACAGGACAUCACAGAGGGUGAGAAUCCCGUACGUGGGCACCUGCCUUUGCCGUGUAAAGCCCCUUCGACGAGUCGAGUUGUUUGGGAAUGCAGCUCUAAAUGGGAGGUAAAUUUCUUCUAAAGCUAAAUACCGGCCAGAGACCGAUAGCGCACAAGUAGAGUGAUCGAAAGAUGAAAAGUACUUUGGAAAGAGAGUCAAAUAGCACGUGAAAUUGUUGAAAGGGAAGCGCUUGCAGCCAGACUUGCCCGCAGUUGCUCACCUAGGCUUUGGCCUGGGGCACUCUUCUGCGGGCAGGCCAGCAUCAGUUUGGGCGGUCGGAUAAAGGCCUCUGUCACGUAUCUCCCUUCGGGGUGACCUUAUAGGGGAGGCGUAAUGCGACCAGCCCGGACUGAGGUCCGCGCAUCUGCUAGGAUGCUGGCGUAAUGGCUGUAAGCGGCCCGU
Molecule: ribosomal RNA, 553 nt
Filed under: fungal sp.
Lineage: Eukaryota; Fungi
Description: partial large subunit ribosomal RNA
Rfam family: Eukaryotic large subunit ribosomal RNA
Source: RNAcentral